GGAAUAUGUUAGUUAAUUCUAAAUGCUGUGAAAUUAGCAGAAUUUGGGUUUUCGUGGUUCUUCAUGAAUCCGGCUAGUUUGCUUGUGUUAGUCCCAAGGUAAUUACUUAUAAUUUAUAUCAUAAUUACAUGUAUGAUGGAUUUUCGUGGAUAUUUGGAGUCUAGGCUUAAGCAUUCUUGAGCUUACUUGGGUAGUAGAUAUCCACAUAAUUCCCAGUCAGCAUUUCUAACUCUUUUUAAAUUUUUUUGCAUUUUCUAGCCUAUUUUUCAAAAUCUAGCUCUGUUGAAUUAUCAUUAAGGAUGUUUAAAUUUAUCGUUUCGGCUUAUAUACAUGGUCAAAUGAUGCUUCUUUAUACAACUAAUACUGGAUCUUAUUGGUAAGUUGAUGGCUUGGCGUUGGAACUGGAUUUCAAAUGUCAGAAAAAUAGGACGCAAGCUGAAAAUUUAGAGGCACUGAUAUGCUUCCAUUUUUCCAUAUUAUUCAAGUCGUGUCUAAGAUAAAACUCAUAGUAUAAAGGAGUAGUUUUGAUGCUGCAUCUCUAAAAGUGGGACAUGAUUCCCUUCCAGUUCUGCCUUAAGCAAUACAUACAGAAUAAGUCGCAUGCUUCAUGUAUUGCAACCACAAUUCAAAUAAAAAUGUCAUGAAAAUCAAAUUAAAGUGCCUGAAUGCUUUUGGCUUAUUGCUGGCUUUGUAUUGACUACCUCAGGGAUUAAUUAUGCAUGCCAUAGCCGUCAGCACCUGUAGGAAAGCCAUACAAGAAUCAUCAAAUAAGGUCAUGUUUACUUGUCUGUUUGUAUGUAAAAUUUGUUGUAUAAAAUAUCUGUGCAUAUUGACGGUUAAUCUGGCAUCAAAACAUAUGCCCCAUGUCAUGCAGCAUUCAAUAUACUAAAAUGCGAAUCUAACUUAGUGGAGGAAUGCCUUGUCUCGGUGUGUGGAAGCGAUGGUGGAACUUGGAAUAGACAUAUACCAUACCUCAUGCAUUGACAUUCUCAACUUGGGAUCGCAGUCGAGACAUUGCUCUGCCAGACGAACCAUCCAAAACAACUG
This 1047-nucleotide long non-coding RNA is filed under the name Olea europaea (common olive). RNAcentral's name for it is "long non-coding RNA (OEUR_LNC003196)". Lineage: Eukaryota; Viridiplantae; Streptophyta; Magnoliopsida; Lamiales; Oleaceae. The record is from RNAcentral.